This 508-nucleotide ribosomal RNA is filed under the name uncultured glomeraceous AM fungus. Its description in RNAcentral is "SSU rRNA". It matches the Rfam family "Eukaryotic small subunit ribosomal RNA", at positions 569 to 1078 of the family's 1831-position model. The record is from RNAcentral. Lineage: Eukaryota; Fungi; Glomeromycota; Glomeromycetes; Glomerales; Glomeraceae.
AGCAGCCGCGGUAAUUCCAGCUCCAAUAGCGUAUAUUAAAGUUGUUGCAGUUAAAAAGCUCGUAGUUGAAUUUCGGGGUUAGUAGAUUGGUCAUGCCUCUGGUAUGUACUGGUCUCACUGAUUCCUCCUUCCUGAUGAACCUUAAUGCCAUUAAUUUGGUGUUUUGGGGAAUUUGGACUGUUACUUUGUAAAAAUUAGAGUGUUUAAAGCAAGCUAACGCUUGAAUACAUUAGCAUGGAAUAAUGAAAUAGGACGUUCGAUCCUAUUUUGUUGGUUUCUAGGAUUGACGUAGUGAUUAAUAGGGAUAGUUGGGGGCAUUAGUGUUCAAUUGUCAGAGGUGAAAUUCUUGGAUUUAUUGAAGACUAACUACUGCGAAAGCAUUUGCCAAGGAUGUUUUCAUUAAUCAAGAACGAAAGUUAGGGGAUCGAAGACGAUCAGAUACCGUCGUAGUCUUAACCAUAAACUAUGCCGACUAGGGAUCGGAUGAUGUUAAUUUUUUAAUGACUCA